This 3745-nucleotide long non-coding RNA is filed under the name Fukomys damarensis (Damara mole-rat). Its description in RNAcentral is "lncRNA (ENSFDAG00000025116.1)". Lineage: Eukaryota; Metazoa; Chordata; Mammalia; Rodentia; Bathyergidae. The record is from RNAcentral.
AUGUCUACUGACUGCCUUAGAAGGCCCAUUCGGCUCAGUAUUAAUACUUUCUCUCCCAGGACAGAGCAUACUUUUGGAAGUCCUUUUCUAUUGUGUAGCUGGGCAGUGACAGUGCCUGCUCCCGUGCGACUGCACACACUCACGUGCAUCUGGAGGUUGAUCAGCUGGAGCCUUGACACGGACGUGCAUGCUUGUCUGCUCUUCACCUGGACUGUAGCAGUCAGGUUUCAGUCAAGGGCUGCAUUGUUUUGGAUCAUUCUUCAGGACAGGAGCCUGAGGUUGGCCCUGUUGUUGCCCAGGGCCCUCUGGGAGAAGACAGCCCAUUUCUUCCUAUCCGGGAUGCUUUUGAUGACAUCGGAGCCACCUGGGCGAGCAGGAGACUCCAGGCUCUGGAGCUGUGGCUUACCCCCACCUGCUGAGUCCAUCCUGCCCCUCCCACACAUGGGGACACAGCCCAGGUGCAGGAGGAAAGGCCCUCGCUGGGGCAGGAGCCUCGGCCGUGCCCAGGUUGGUCAGGUGUUUGCUAAUCCACUCCUGGGCCUGGCGGGUGCAGGUGAUGCAGGUUCCCCGGAGCCUGGUGGUUCUGGGACUGAGAACCAAUGUGGAUCGGUGUACUGCUCAGGCUCGCCCAGGUCCAGAGUCCCCAUUGCUAAUCAUGGUUGCCCAUGGACGCCAUCAGUAUUUUCAGAUUGGUGAAAAGUUUCCUCACUUCCUUACAUUAAAAAAAAAAUCUAAAAUGUUUGGAGAACUGCACAUUAAAACCAAAACUGUCCAUUUCAGGAAAACUGGUAUACCUGGCCCACGGUUAAGGCUGGCUGGAGUUCGUCCUCUUCUCUUGCCGCUUCAGUCCUCUUUCCUUUCCUCCUCCUCCUCUCCAUUCCUUUAGAAGUUUUUACUUUCUUUCUUUUUUUAUUUUUUGAGGAGAAAGCCAAUGGGAAUCUCCGUUUCGUGGUUUCCAGAUAAGACUCGAGGCUUUGCCUCCACGCUGCCACUCACAUGCUUUCCCGGGCUGACGCAGAUUAGAAGAAGGGAUCGAUCUGUCCCUUCCCAGAGCACCAGUGUCCAGGGAGAGGCCACCUGUCGCCAUCACCAGCGCCUGCCGCGGGAGGCUGUGCACCCACAGGGUCUGGAGGGGCUGGCCGCUCCCUGAGGAAAGGGCAGCUGUGUGGAGCCUUCUUCUGCCCUCUUGCUGGGCCAGAGUUGCUUCUUAAGGAGGGACGGAGACUUAGGACAGGCAUGCUCGGUCCCUCAUCUGAAAAGCCUCUGGGGAGGAAGUGUGUGCUGGACACUGGCCGGCAGUGCCCCGUCUCUCCAGGUGAGUGUGGUGCUGACAGCAAGUGCUGGACUUUGGCCACUCCCUCAGAAACUGCCUUUCAAAUGAGGUUUCUUCAGGCGCCCCUCGAUGCCGCUGACAUCCAGGAUCCUUCAGGCGCCAGCUCCCCUGAACCUCAGGGGUGUGUCUGUGGGGUGGAAGAAGUGGCAGGCACCCAAGAGCCUGAGUCCCUGAGUGUCCUGAUGGGAGGAGGUGACCGGGACAGUCGGGAGUCCUCGGGAAAUCUCGGGUGACCCCUCCUUCAUGGGGCACCAUCUGCACUAUGGGUGUCUGUGUUGCCUGGCUCUGUGCUCUAUGGCGUGGUGGCCACUGGCCCCCUGUGGCUGUUUAAAUUAAAUUCAGUUCCGUAGCUGCAUUGGCCACAUUUUUAGGGUCUGAUAGCUGGCAUUGCUGGUACUUUCUUACACUGCCGACGAUGGGAUGUUGCAGUUGGAGCAUUCACUGCCUGCACUUCCCUGGCACCUAAACCCCCUGCCCUGGCCCUCUCCCAGUCCUUUGGGGCCUGCGUUGCCCUUUGUGUUCUAGAGAAACUGUGGCUUUCUGUUUUAAAGACAUCUCUUCUGGAAGAGUUUUGCUUAAAGAGAAUCAGCAGGCCCCGUGGCUCUUCCUCCCUGGCGCAGGUGCCCGAAGGUCCGAGUUCUGGAUUCACUUCUGCUCCUGGCUUCAGUGGAUUCGGCUUUGGGUUCUGACCUGAACUUCAUUCCCCUUUGCUUGGAGGCUGCGGUGAAGGCAGCAUGGAUCGCUUAGCAUCCGAGGCCUGAGGGUGUGAGGGGAGUGUGUCCUGCCCUGUGUCAGCUGGCCCUUCACGAUGGCCAUGGGACUUUCUGUUCGCGCCCAGUCCAGGAAUGGCAUUCAUUCGCACAGGCAGCUCCCGUACCCCUCCCUGAGUCCUGUCACUGUGGAAUGCCCCAGCAGUUGCCCCUGGCAUCCCCACGGUCACCUCAUUGGAUUCAGCCCAGUAGCGAAGUCUGCUGUGUGCCCAGUGGAGGAGGCCCUGCCCUGCAAAGUGACAGUCCAACCUGGCCCCAGGGAGCCCCUGGAUGCGGAUUGGGGUCAGCACAGGCCAGCAGACAUCCUGGCUGGUGCUGCUUUCUGGACAUGAGGAAUGCUUGUGAAGAAGAAGCAGAACUUAGAGCCCUGGUCAGACUCCCCGGAACCCCAUCUUUAACAUAGUUGUCUUGGCUGCAUUGCCUUCAAUGGUGUUUUUGUUUUGCAAAACCAAUUGUCUUCAAUGAGUCUUCUCAAAACAUUGACUUGGAUUUUCUUACUGAAAUUCUUACUUCAUCAUUGUGUGUAAGUUUCAUCAAAUGAUGUCAUUACUCAAAUUUGUCGAGCUGAUUUGCAUUGAUGUUUCCCCAAGUGAUGUCCUCACUGUCAGAACAGGUGGGUGGUGGAGCUUUGUACAGGACACAGCUGGCCCGAGGUCCCAGGCUGCUCUGGCAGGUGUCUCAGAGGUCUGGACACUCUGGCCAGGGCUGGCAGGCCGACGGCUGUUACCAUAUGGAACCCUCCAUCCUAAAUCCCCACCCCCAAGACCAGCCCAGGGGAGGCUGGAGGCCCCAUGUCCAGAGCCAGUUCCCACCCUUUCUCUGGCAGGCUGGCACCCCUAGUACCCUGCUCAGCUCCCCCUCCGCAGGCACAGUCCCCUCACUCUGCCUGGCCCUUCCUGUGCUGGCCAGGGGCCCUCUGGCUUCCCUGGGCUUCUGAGCUAACAGCUGAACACACUCGGUCCAUGCUGAGUAUUUGGGCUGCAAAGGUGCCCUGAGACCAACCUGGGUGGACGGACUCUGAGGUUCCCUUUCAGGGUAACCCAUGAGUUCACCUUUGGGAACAUAGUCUGAAAGCACCGGUGAAACCCUGCCGGCUCCUUGUCACCUGGCAUUCGGAUCUGCUGCACAGAGAAGCUGCACAGAGACACUGCCCAGCCUUCAUGGAGAGGCAUAAAGGGAGUGAGUGAGUUGCAUGCAGUAAGCUUCAUUUAUCUCCUCACUGCAGACACACAAGCAUUAACACAGGCAGUUGGCCAGCAGGGGCAUUAUGUGCGUUAUCUGCUCAUGGGACUGCAGGCAGAGAGGCAUUCAUGGCAGUGCCCUGGCUGGUUUUGAUAGAGAUGAUCAGGUUUUUCUUAAUGCUCUGAACACUUCCCACCCCUGAAGUUGCUGGUUUUGUGCACUGGGAAGUUCCUACCGGAGGAGCCCAGCCACAGCCUUAGGCCCAGUUAGUCCCGCACCACAGUGACCGAGGGCAGUUGCUCUCCUUCCCUGCAGACUUUAUCCAGAGCAGCAGUGGGGUGGGUACAUCAGGAGAGAAGGACCAAGAAGAGAAGAGAUAAAAGUAAACAAGACUCAGCAACUAGUUCUGAGUAUUGUCUGAAGUCCUUGGUUCAGGGUUUUUUUUUUUUUUUUUUUGAGU